UUAUGUGCGCCGAAGUGCAAAGGAGGUAUGGGAUUUAGAGACAUUCGCUAUUUUAAUUUGGCUCUUCUAGCAAAACAAGCAUGGAGGUUAAUAGAUAAUCCAGAUUCUUUGUGUGGUACAGUUCUGAAGGCAAAGUAUUUUCCUAGUGGAGAUUUGCUCAAUGCUAAAUUAAAAAAAAGGGAGCUUCCUUCCUAG
RNAcentral lists this ribosomal RNA (195 nucleotides) under Triticum aestivum (bread wheat). RNAcentral describes it as "partial small subunit ribosomal RNA". Lineage: Eukaryota; Viridiplantae; Streptophyta; Magnoliopsida; Poales; Poaceae. The record is from RNAcentral.